AUACGUAGGUGGCAAGCGUGAUCCGGAAUUACUGGGCGUAAAGCGCACGCAGGCGGCCAGUCAAGUCUGACGUGAAAGCUCCUGGCUUAACUGGGAGAGGUCGUUGGAAACUGAUUGGCUUGAGGCAAUGAGAGGGACACGGAAUUCCCGGUGUAGUGGUGGAAUGCGUAGAUAUCGGGAGGAACACCAGUGGCGAAAGCGGUGUCCUGGCAUUGACCUGACGCUCAUGUGCGAAAGCGUGGGGAGCGAACGGGAUUAGAAACCCGAGUAGUCC
This 274-nucleotide ribosomal RNA is filed under the name uncultured bacterium. RNAcentral's name for it is "partial 16S ribosomal RNA". It matches the Rfam family "Bacterial small subunit ribosomal RNA", at positions 523 to 796 of the family's 1533-position model. The record is from RNAcentral.